This 3411-nucleotide long non-coding RNA is filed under the name Sus scrofa (pig). RNAcentral describes it as "lncRNA (ENSSSCG00000052839.1)". The record is from RNAcentral. Lineage: Eukaryota; Metazoa; Chordata; Mammalia; Artiodactyla; Suidae.
UUUUUUUUUUUUUUUUCAUUUGGUUGUUUUGCAAGCUUGGCAUUAUGGAAGAAAAAUAGAAUGUCAAUAAAUUCAACUUUGAACAUCUAUUCAAUGAGUUAUUUCCUAGUAGGAGGAAAAAAAAAUUGAACCAGGCUAGGCAGUCUAGAGGGAGAUGUGUAAAUGACUUGUAACUAAGAGGAUAUGACCCUCUGCAUAAUUCAUAAUCAUUAGUCUAAGUGACACUUCUGCAGUCACUCUGCCAGGGUGUUCUCAUAUGCUGUGGCUGAAACCCAAACAGUCCACUCAGCAGCAGUCCCUAUGUGAUCAGGUUUCUCUGAAAGACAACUCCCUGAAAGGCUAGAUUUGGGCUGCAGGUUUUUUUUUUUUUUUAAACAGAAGAUGCUGGCUCAGCUUCAUCAUGUGAGCAAUUUAAGGGUUGCUCAAGUGAUUCUUUAAAACUGCAUAAAAGCAAUUCUGCUGUGCCUGGGAGACAGUAUUGCUAUAAUGUUCUGUGCAUACAUCUGCAUGAUUUCUCAGAGCUAAUUCAAAUUUAAUGCAUUGGUAAUUCCUUUUCUGCCGAAGCCACCCAGCAGUAAUCUGAAGGUUACAGAAUGAUCUUCCAGCUCAAAUAACACUUUUAGACUAGCAUAAAUGGAGAGGCAGGAAUAUAAUGGGCAGAAUUAGACUUGCAAUGAUACAUUCCGCCCUCAUUACCACUCUGACUGAGGCUGACCAGAGUUUAGAGUGUUUUUAGAAGGAUAAUCAUAAUAGAGUUUUAAUAAAACUGAGAGUCAAGCUAUAGUGGUCUUUUAUCAGGGAUGGUGUAAUAACCAAAAUGACAGCUUAUGAACAACGUAGAAAAUAUUUCCCUAACAACUGGGAAGACCAUUCUCAGAGUAAAACUGAAGCUUUGAUUAAAGCAUUUAGAAGAACCAGCUCACAAAUCUAUAGGGCGCUGGAGAAUUGUCAUUUAGCGUGGAUGUCAUAAAAAUAUUGACAUCUAAUUAAAGCCCAUAUAAAUAAUAAAAAGGGUAAAUUAGGGCAUGUUUUUUAAAAGAUAAUAAACUUUAAAAUUUUAUAAAGUUAGAUUUUUAUAGAAAAAUUACAGUAUGCAGUUCUUACAGGCCACAGGCCCUGUUUCCUCAAUUAUUAACAUGUUACAUUACUAUGGUACAUUAAUUUGUCAUAAUGUAUGAACCAAUAUUAAUUCAUUAUUAUUAAUUAAAACCCACACUUUAGUCAUAUUUCCUUUUUUACCUUUUUUUUUUUUUUUUUUUUUUUUCUGUUCCAGGAGUUCUCUUGAGGAUAUCACAGGAUACUUAGUUGAUAUGUUGCCUUAGCCUCCUCUUGGUUAUUACAGCUUCUUAGACUCUAUUUUCAAUGACCUUAACAAUUUGGAGGAGUACUACUCGGUGUUGUGUAAAAUGUCCCUGAAUGGGGACUUCUGCAAUGUUUUCCAUCAUUAUACUAGGGUUAUAGGUUUUUAAAAGACUGCAGAGGGCAAGUUCCAUUCUUAUGCCAUGAUAUCAAGAAUACAUGCUAUUGACAUGACUUACCACGGUGGAUGUUAACCUUCAUCACCUAGCUCAGGUAGUGCUCGCCAGGUGUCUCUUUUCUCCCUCUUUCUAUGCUGUAUUCUUUGAAAAGAGGUUCCCAUGUACAGCCUACACUUAGGAAAUCAGGAGCUAUGAUUCACAUCCUUGAGAAUGAAUUAUCUACCCGAAUUAUUUAGAAUUUUUCUUCAUGGGUGAUUUCCAUUUAUUUUUUCAAUCAUUCAUUUAUAUCAACAUGGAUACAUGGAUGUUUAUAUUUUAGGUUAGAUCCAAUACUAUUUUGUGUUAUUGCUCAAAUUGUAACAAUUUUGGCUAUCUGGGAACUUUUUCAGUUGGCCUUUAUGUCCCUUUGACAUGACCUCAUUUUAAAGUUUUGGUCUUUUAGCAUUUUCUUACUUUCUGGCACUGCAAGAUGCUCCAACUCAUCCUUUAUAUUUUCUAUUCAAACACUAGCAUCAUCAAUUUCUCUAAGAAGCCUUGUUCUUUUUGAUGGAGAAGGGAAUUAGAAAAUAAGAUCUGGGUGCUAAAAUGCUGGUUACUAUUGUCGCUUCAAUGUCCUCUUAGCCCGAAGAGCAAGGAAAUAUGUGUACAUACUAACCCAUCUAUAUUUGCGUAUCUAUAAAUGUUUCUAUAUGUAAUCGCCUGUGUCUAUAUGAAGCUAAAUAUGAACAGAUACUGAGUUCUCCAAAUCUAAUACUCACAGCAUUGCAGAUCUCCCCCUAUCCCCCUGCCCCUGCUUAUCUGUAAUCUUCCAGUCCAGUAGUAAGAAACGGCUAAUUUGGGAGUGUUUUCACCCCAACUUUUGUGAUACUGAUGACAGAGUUAGUACAGCAAAGUCUUUCCUAUAUGAUCCUGGUGUAGAAUAUCUUUCUAAUUCCUACUUAACAGAAUGACAUUACCCAAAAUAUAAAGGCAAUGAACUCAUUGGUGAUUUCUUUCUUUUUUUUUUUUUUUUUUCUUUUUAGGGCUGUACCCACUGAAGUGAGUUCAUGCCAAGGACUGAAUAGGAAUCUUCUGAUCCUUAAAUGUUAUUCCCUCAAGGCUUAAAAGAGUGUGAAAGAGUUUGCACAGCAAUUUCUUGCUUUAUAGCAGUUAAACAAAAGCAUUUGGCUUAAAGCAUUGUCAACCUAGUAAACUUCCUAGGAAUAAAAUCACUAAAAGCUGUUCUUCCCUGAAACCAAGUAUUACUCAUUGGCAGAUGUUAUCUGUUAGUAAAAGGAUUGCAACCAGUAAAUGCUGGGGAUCAAGGUCCUACUUAAUACAAAAACCUGACAUCAUCUGUGUCACUUACAAAUCUGGUAUUAAUUAUUUGAUAAGCUUGGGGCUGAUUUAGUAACACAGACAUUUUGUUGUAUGAAUGGUGAAUGUCAAGGAUGACUUAUUGCUCUGAACACAUUUAAAAGGAAGACUAAUAUGAUUUCUUAUAGGAGAGACCCAAUGGCAGCUGCACCAGAGAGUCAAUUACACUGUUGUGUGUGCUUCACAGACUUAUUUUCCAGAACGAGAGAAAAGGAACAAGGCACAUGACUAUCUCCAUAGUGAUGAUGUUUUGGCUUCUCUGAUUUUUUUGGAUUAUAAAUCUAGAGGGGGAAAAAGCAAAGAGAAAAAGGAGAAUUCUUGCUUAGCAAUCUGAAAACAGGGUAUUUUCAUCUCCACAAAGAAUUCAUGAAAGCUCACAAAUAAGACUUUAGUAGAAUAUCAAGUUGAGAGGUCAAGGAGAGGGAUAUUGAUAUUAUUAUCAUUUAACACAUCUGAAUUUUCUAUCCCAGCAACCCUAUAAAGAGAAAUAUAAGAGAAGAAGUUGUAUAAUUUUUGUGUGUGUGUGUAAAUACAAGACAUACUGACUAUGGCUCAUCAUGGAAAAACAAAACAGAAC